RNAcentral lists this ribosomal RNA (455 nucleotides) under Ascobulla sp. MNHN 42250. RNAcentral's name for it is "partial 16S ribosomal RNA". It matches the Rfam family "Bacterial large subunit ribosomal RNA", at positions 1810 to 2606 of the family's 2925-position model. The record is from RNAcentral. Lineage: Eukaryota; Metazoa; Mollusca; Gastropoda; Volvatellidae.
AAAACAUAGUCUAAAGUUUUUAUUUUAGAUAAAGCCUGCCCAGUGCUCAAUAAUAGAAGUAAAUGGCCGCAGUACCCUGACUGUGCUAAGGUAGCGUAAUCAGUUGGCUUUUAAAUGGAGUCGUGUAUGAACGGAUAAAUGGGGUGAGACUGUCUCUUUCCGGUUUAUUUGAAUUUAGUUAAAAGGUGAAAAUACCUUUAGUAAGAUAAAGGACGAUAAGACCCUAGGAGUUUCUCUAAAAGAACUAUUUUAAGUUUUACAGUUUUGCUGGGGCGGCAUAGAGGCAAAAUAACCCUCUUUAAAUGUAAGCCGAAUAUUUUAAGUGCAAUUAAACUACCCUAGGGAUAACAGCAUAAUUCUUUAAAGAGUUUGUGACCUCGAUGUUGGACUAGGAAUUAACCAGGCUAGCCGCUUGGAUGUAUUGUUCUGUUCGAACUAUUUUUCCUACGUGAUCU